CCUACGGGGGGCUGCAGUGGGGAAUUUUGCGCAAUGGGCGAAAGCCUGACGCAGCGACGCCGCGUGGGUGAUGAAGGCCCUCGGGUUGUAAAGCCCUGUGGGGAGGGAAGAAUAAGGGUAUGUAAAUAGCGUAUCUGAUGACGGUACCUCCUUAGCAAGCACCGGCUAACUCUGUGCCAGCAGCCGCGGUAAGACAGAGGGUGCAAACGUUGUUCGGAAUUACGGGGCGUAAGCCGUGUGUGGGCGAUGUGAAAGCCCGUGGCUCAACUGAGGAAGAGCAUUCGAAACUGCGCAGCUUGAGUUCUGGAGAGGAUGGUGGAAUUCUCGGUGUAGAGGUAAAAUUCGUAGAUAUCGAGAGGAACACCAGUGGCGAAGGCGGCCAUCUGGACAGAAACUGACGCUGAGACGCGAAAGCGUGGGUAGCAAACAGGAUUAGAUACCCUUGUAGUC
RNAcentral lists this ribosomal RNA (450 nucleotides) under uncultured bacterium. Its description in RNAcentral is "partial 16S ribosomal RNA". It matches the Rfam family "Bacterial small subunit ribosomal RNA", at positions 338 to 795 of the family's 1533-position model. The record is from RNAcentral.